Cavia porcellus (domestic guinea pig) is the source of this 4998-nucleotide RNA transcript. It is a transcript of the gene named progestin and adipoQ receptor family member 3, with no coding region annotated. The record is from RefSeq and is a predicted model, not a curated record. NCBI's taxonomy places the organism in Eukaryota, Metazoa, Chordata, Mammalia, Rodentia, Caviidae. The transcript is spliced from 8 exons.
UCACAGAGAUCUGCGACGGAGCUGUGGCCCGGGUGCUGAAGUAGGUGACGGCCGGUUUGCGAGCCCGGCCUGGCCGAGCUGAGCGGCCGCGGGUCCUUGCACGCGUUCGCGGGCUCCGGGACGGGGGCUCCUGCGGCGAAGCCCCCUCCCCGGGGGGCCGGGGCCUGGGCAGGCUCCCGGCGGGGAGCGGCGGUGGCCGGGAAGGAUGCAUCAGAAGCUGCUGAAGAGCGCACACUACAUCGAGCUGGGCAGCUAUCAAUACUGGCCGGUCCUGGUGCCCCGCGGCAUUCGCCUCUACACCUACGAGCAGAUCCCCGUGUCCCUCAAGGACAACCCGUACAUCACCGACGGUUAUCGGGCCUACCUGCCCUCCAGGCUCUGCAUCAAAAGUUUGUUUAUUUUAUCUAAUGAGACGGUAAACAUCUGGAGUCAUUUGCUGGGUUUCUUUCUCUUCUUCACCCUGGGAAUAUAUGACAUGACGUCUGUAUUACCUUCGGCAAGUGCGUCCAGAGAAGAUUUUGUAAUUUGUUCUAUUUGUCUUUUCUGCUUCCAGGUCUGUAUGCUUUGCUCUGUGGGUUAUCAUCUUUUUUCUUGCCAUCGGUCAGAAAAAACCUGUCGAAGAUGGAUGGCAUUAGAUUAUGCAGGAAUUUCUAUUGGAAUUCUAGGCUGCUAUGUCUCAGGAGUAUUUUAUGCCUUUUAUUGUAAUAAUUAUUGGCGGCAGGUGUACUUGAUCACAGUGCUCGCUAUGAUCCUCGCAGUGUUCUUCGCGCAGAUUCACCCCAGUUACCUCACGCAGCAGUGGCAGAGGCUCCGCUCUAUCAUCUUUUGUUCUGUGUCUGGCUAUGGGGUGAUCCCUACUCUUCACUGGGUUUGGCUCAAUGGAGGAGUUGGUGCUCCUAUCGUACAGGACUUUGCAUCCCGUGUAAUUGUGAUGUAUGUGAUUGCUCUUCUUGCUUUCCUAUUCUACAUUUCUAAAGUUCCAGAACGGUACUUUCCAGGACAACUAAACUACCUCGGAUCAAGUCACCAAAUAUGGCAUAUCUUGGCAGUAGUGAUGCUAUAUUGGUGGCAUCAGUCCACAGUGUAUGUCAUGCAGUACAGACACAGCAAGCCUUGUCCUGACUAUGUUUCACAUUUGUGAAUCAGAAUCAGAAAUGAAGAAUCAGGGUCACACCUUACGCCAUCCCUCCUGGACAGAGUAACUGAUUGGAAGAUUGUGAUUGACUGGCAGAAGGGUAUACAACUCUCCAUUUGGCAGGAGUUAAUGCCAAGAAUCCAUCAGAAGUAUCUACUGUUUAGAAGGAAAUGGAGCAGCACCAAAUGGGUCUAAUUCAACUGGUUGGGACUGUUGGGACUGAUGUGGCGUGAUGCUUUGCACCACAAGUUCUGUAAAGGGCACGGCACCAAAGUCAUCCAUUUUCAACGCAUCGGCACUAUGGAAUGACCCAUGCAGCGAGUUCUGCCUUGGCCGCCCAGGCAGGACGGUAUUGUGAUCAGCACAGAUGUCACUCAGGCCUUGGUGUGACUGGUGCCACGGCAGGUCUGGAGGAUGGAAGGGCUUGGCACCAAAGGGGUCCAACAGACUCUCCUCAGAUUGUAGGACACUGCCUCUGUCUUUCCCAUCAUUCAGCGCCAUGCUAAUGUUCUCCUUGGAGUCUGAGAUGGUUAAAAACUCAUUGCUGCUUUGAGAGUCUCGGUGGCCCACUUUUUUGUGCCUGCGAGCCCUCUCUGGAGUGCGGUAGGUAGGCUUCAAAGUCUUCUUUGUGCUAGUUGGUGUGCCAUGGUGCCGCUUGCCAUUACUUUUGGACACAUCCUGCUUCGUGCGCCUUUGGCGAGAGGACAGUUUCUGUAAGCUGCGCUGUUUGACUUUUUGCUGCUGACUCCCAGUUAUUUCCUCAAAGGGCACAAGCCCAAAAAGGUCCUCUUUGCUUUCACUUUUAUUUGCAGAUGUGGGAAAGGGCUGAAAGGGAGUGGAGCCAAAUAUAUCUACACUUUUGGGACAACUGGUCAGAGUGUGUGCCUUGGGCCCCGCUACAGGGCAACCCUGUAUAUUUACUUUCUUGCCGAAGGGUGCCUUUGUGAAUACAUCAAACUCCUCUUGCUCUAGCCCUACAGUAGGAAAUGUCUGUUGAGAGAGGUUCUUUUCAUUCUCUCCUUGCUGGGAUUGUUGAGUGUGAACUGCAAAGAAGGGGACAGCGCCAAAUACAUCAAACUCCUGUUUGUGAGUGUCCACUCCAGCAUCAACGGCUAAGUGAACUGGAGUGAAGAUUGCUGCAAUAGGGUCUUGGGGUCCACUCCCCAGUUUGUCUCUGCAGACAGGACUCAUGCCACUGUACUUUGUUUUAGCCUGCUCAUAUUCAGAAUCCGAGCUAUGUUUUUCUUCUUCUUCGUCUUCAGAAUCCAUGAGGAGAGGCCUAUGACCCAGAUUUUCUGGUUCAGUAUCAUCAUCAUUAAAAUCUCCUUGUUCUCCCUGAAUUUCUUCAUCCUCUUGCUCUUCCUCUUCACUGCUCUUAGGAGAAGGGGGAUCCGAUUCAAAAUCACUUUCAGAGUCGUCAUUUCCCUUUUGCAUUCGAUCCUGUACUGACGAAUUCUCUGAAAUUUUCUUUCCAAUCUGCUGAUCUUUAGGUAUUGGACUUGCUUUACCAUUCCUAAUAGGGUAUGCAGUGUUAACAUCUUGAUUUGUGUUUAAAUGUUCAACUUUCUUUUCAGGAGAACCUGCAGGUUCAAAGGAAAAAUAUUAAAGCAUUCCAAUGUAUUUCAAAAUCUAUUUGCAUCAAACAUGGCAUUAUAUAUCCCUCAUACAUUUCCUCAAAAGAAGGUCAAUUCUUGUCAUUAUACUCUUAAGAGAUCUUAAGAGAUUAUCAGGUCCUUUAAUGCAGACAGACAUAAUCACCCCUGGACCCUACACCCUGCCUACUUUUCACAGACCCCCCUCAACAAAAUUUUAUUUAGAGCACUCUUCUCCCCACCCUCAAAGCACCAACUGCUUUCUCAGCUCCUACAUUCCCCAAGCAACCUUAUGCUUAUGUUUCAAAUCUAUUAAAUUUUUCCAAAAAGACAGAUUGGUAUGAAUAGCUUGUUUGCCUGGAUAGGUGUUACACUGAUUUUGUUAAAUCAGCAUUUUUCUUUUUGAAGUUAGGAUCUUUUAUGUAGAGUUUGCAUGAGGGCAUCCACAUCCUUGACAGUCUGUCAUAGCAGAGGACAGAUACUAGACAGAGACUGCACCAUAGACAUGUACCUUCUCUGGCUGACACACUGUCCAUUAACUAUAGCACUAUACUGUAAGACAUUAUAUUAAAGCAUAUGUAUUUUAACACAGAUCCCGCCAUCAGGCUAUUAUGUGACUGGCAAUAAAAUUACACUAAAGAAACAGUGCUUUGCAAUUUAUCUGGUAUAUAAUAAAUAUAGCACAUUAAUUUACAUGUAAAUUACUGCCUUCCCAAUACAUUGGUAUACUGGAUUGAUUUUUCCAGAAAUGAUAAUCAAUUUGUAUUGGCUCAUUCACACAAUUAUUAAUCCUUUCCCUUUAACUAAGAUGAAAUAUUUUCAAAACAAUUAACUGGGGCUAGAAGUAUAGUCUGUAGUUAAGAAAAUGAAUUAGGUUUUGAUGGAAGGACCAUUACUUUUCCAUUAUGAACAUGGUGGUCUCCAACAUAUGACUGCUUCAAGCUCUUGAAAAGUCAGCUUGUCUUCCUCCAACUCUGAUGGUAGUCUUUUUUUUAAAAACUAGUAUCUCUGGAAGGUACCAAUGACAAUACUGGCGACUGAAUCUAUGGCCUUCACACUGAGCUACAGGCCCAGCCCUCUUAUUUUUUAUUUUGAGACACUUUCACUAAACUGCUCAGUCUGGCCUUGAACUUGCAGUUCCCCCAUCUCAGCCUCCCAAAGUAGUGAGAUUACAGACAUGUACCACCAUGCCCAACCCUUAAAUUUGUUCUCCAGGGCUGCUGUCUUUCUCUGUGUCCUCUUCCCAGUCUACACUGAUUGCCAGGUUUAACCUGUAUCUUACACCUGAGUUCCAGACUCAGAUCUCUAAUACUCAGAAAUACUUACCCUACUGUAGCCUCAAACUCAGUAAUUCCAAAAGUGAUCAUCUUUCCUCUCAAAUGUGUUGUUUACCAGUUCCUUCUAAGUUAGUGGGCAGCAGAUCUACCUACGCAGGACCUCAGAUUGCCAGAUAUCAGAUCAUCUCAGUGUGGCGUUAGUCUGUUCAAUCUGUUUUCUCCCCUCCUUCCACUUAGCUGUUCAUUCCCUCAGUACCUCUCACCGUGUAUCUCAGCCUCAUAGUUGCCUCUCUGCCUCCUGACCCACAGUCCUCACACUCCUUUAACCAGAAUAAUUGUUCUGAAACGCUCUUUGUGCAGCUGGCUGCGUAAAAUCUUGUGGUUGUCUCAAGUCCCAGCCCACAGCAUACCACAGGGUGUGCUUCUGAAUUCUGUCCUGCAACAUCAGACCCUAGUAUCUCCCUCAAGGGUAUCCUUUAUUAUAGCCAUACCCAAAGACUCUGUCUUCAAACUCAGGAUUCUAAUAGCUGUCUGGCCUCUUCAUACUUGCUGUCAGUAACUCAGGAAUGGAAUAGAUUUGGGAAUCAAGAGACAGCUGCUAUCUUCUAUCUCCCCAGGGUAAUACGGCAGCUCAGUAAUGAAUGCCUUCUACCUUUCCUUGUCUACCUGAGUCUCUUGACUAGAGCAGUAUUUCAAGACCCAGAACUCUUCACAGCCACCAGUUUGAAAAAGUACCUAUUCUCUACAUGGUACUCCUGAUGAACCUAGUACAAACCUUCAUUGUAGAACCUAUACUCCAUAGUACCUGCAAAAGUUUCCUUGUCUCUUAUCAUUACUGUUUAUUACAUUUUCUUUUAUCAUUUCCCUCUAUUCCCAAGCAUUAUACUGAGUCAAUAUGAACCAAGUGACUACUCUGAGCUCACCAACUAUAUUCAGAAUAUAAAGUUACAAUGAAGAAAAAUAAAGUAUAUCUGGAGAUAUUUUUACCUCAGAA